UACGGGGGGGGGCAAGCGUUGUUCGGAAUUACUGGGCGUAAAGGGCUCGUAGGUGGCCAACUAAGUCAGACGUGAAAUCCCUCAGCUUAACUGGGGAACUGCGUCUGAUACUGGAUGGCUUGAGUUUGGGAGAGGGCAGUGGAAUUCCCGGUCGUAGCGGUGAAAUGCGUAGAUAUCGGGAGGAACAUCAGUGGCGAAGGCGGCUGCCUGGCCCAAUACUGACACUCAGGUGCGACAGCGGUGGGGAGCAAACAGG
RNAcentral lists this ribosomal RNA (256 nucleotides) under uncultured bacterium. Its description in RNAcentral is "partial 16S ribosomal RNA". It matches the Rfam family "Bacterial small subunit ribosomal RNA", at positions 524 to 776 of the family's 1533-position model. The record is from RNAcentral.